UGGGAUGUAGCUCAGUGUCAAAGCAUUUGCCUAACAUGUAAAAUUCUGGGUUUUAUCCCCAGUGUCACAA
Molecule: transfer RNA, 70 nt
Filed under: Mesocricetus auratus (golden hamster)
Lineage: Eukaryota; Metazoa; Chordata; Mammalia; Rodentia; Cricetidae
Rfam family: tRNA
About the family: Transfer RNA (tRNA) molecules are approximately 80 nucleotides in length. Their secondary structure includes four short double-helical elements and three loops (D, anti-codon, and T loops). Further hydrogen bonds mediate the characteristic L-shaped molecular structure. tRNAs have two regions of fundamental functional importance: the anti-codon, which is responsible for specific mRNA codon recognition, and the 3' end, to which the tRNAs corresponding amino acid is attached (by aminoacyl-tRNA synthetases). tRNAs cope with the degeneracy of the genetic code in two manners: having more than one tRNA (with a specific anti-codon) for a particular amino acid; and 'wobble' base-pairing, i.e. permitting non-standard base-pairing at the 3rd anti-codon position.
Source: Rfam by way of RNAcentral